UAAGGGAUAUUGCACAAUGGGCGCAAGCCUGAUGCAGCAACGCCGCGUGUGGGAAGAAGGGUUUCGGCUCGUAAACCACUUUUCUGUCGGAAGAAGGAUGACGGUACGACAGGAAGAAGUCUCGGCUAACUACGUGCCAGCAGCCGCGGUAAAACGUAGGAGGCGAGCGUUAUCCGGAUUUACUGGGCGUAAAGCGCGUGCAGGUGGUCUUUUAAGUCGUGUGUGAAAGCGCUCAGGCUCAACCGGGCGAGGUCAUGCGAAACUGGGAGACUAGAGGCAGUUAGAGGCGAGUGGAAUUCCGGGUGGAGUGGUGAAAUGCGUAGAGAUCCGGAGGAACACCAGAGGCGAAGGCGGCUCGCUGGGACUGACCUGACACUCAGACGCGAAAGCAUGGGGAGCG
This 400-nucleotide ribosomal RNA is filed under the name uncultured bacterium. RNAcentral's name for it is "bacterial SSU rRNA". It matches the Rfam family "Bacterial small subunit ribosomal RNA", at positions 355 to 770 of the family's 1533-position model. The record is from RNAcentral.